Molecule: transfer RNA, 70 nt
Filed under: Dipodomys ordii (Ord's kangaroo rat)
Lineage: Eukaryota; Metazoa; Chordata; Mammalia; Rodentia; Heteromyidae
Rfam family: tRNA
About the family: Transfer RNA (tRNA) molecules are approximately 80 nucleotides in length.
Source: Rfam by way of RNAcentral
GGGAAUGUGGCUUAGUGGUAGAGUGUUUGCCUAACAUGCAUGAAGCCCUAGGUUCAAUUCCUCAAAACCA